UCUUCGCUGUACUACUCUUUUGGAUCCAUUUAGCAACAACUGAAAGCUUAAAUUAUGAUCUCUUUAUUAAGCUUCAUAAAGGGGAAGGCGAAACAAUAGAAACCGUUGGCAAAGUUUUAUUGCAGACGUCAACCAGAAGUCGACUAGCGUGUGCUCGCCAAUGUCUUGAGAACGAUACAUGCUUAUCAUAUACGUAUGGGCACAAUGAUUGUCACUUGUUCGAUGGUAAAUAUACUGCAUCACCGGUUGUCAUGACAACAGGAAGUCCACCAAAGGAAACAGAUAAAGCUUACUACAAUCGUGUGUUUUGUGAAAAUGGUGGAAUAAGAAACACGACCAGUAAUAAAUGUGUAUGUUUUAAUAGUUAUGUUGGCGAGCAUUGUGAGAGAUUAAUGACAGAUUGUAGUGAUGGAUAUUUAGCAGGACAAUACUACGGACAAGAUGCCGUAUUUACAGUUAAACCUGAUGCUGCACCCAACCCAUUCGAGGUGCGUUGUAUUAUGAAGACACACGGUCGAUUGGUUUUCCAACGGCAGAAAGACGGUAACGUGAGUUUCAACCGAACAUGGUCGGAAUAUAAAGAAGGAUUUGGUAAUGUAAGGGGAGAUCACUGGUUAGGAAAUGACA
Molecule: long non-coding RNA, 627 nt
Organism: Patella vulgata (common limpet)
Lineage: Eukaryota; Metazoa; Mollusca; Gastropoda; Patellidae
Exons: 4
Source: RefSeq, a predicted model, not a curated record